This 7189-nucleotide long non-coding RNA is filed under the name Sus scrofa (pig). Its description in RNAcentral is "lncRNA (ENSSSCG00025065011.1, ENSSSCG00055014147.1)". Lineage: Eukaryota; Metazoa; Chordata; Mammalia; Artiodactyla; Suidae. The record is from RNAcentral.
GGGGGCAAUAAACAGAGGGAGAAUUUUUCUAGGUAAGUCCCAUGAAAGCAAUAUCGAAACCUCUAUUUACCAAUACAAAAAUUCAUCCUUUGCCUUCCUGCUUUCUUAAUACCCAAGAGAGAAGCGUUGUGAUUUUAUGUGCCCUGUGCAGCUCCCAACAUUCAAAGUCAACAACAUUAAAAGUGCCAACAUUAAAAUACUUUGGCCAAGAGGCUAUAGUAACUGGUAAAUCCUAGUUGGGGGAAAAUGGGACUUAUCGAGUCCGGACGGAAGAGAGUGUUGGUGUUGUUUGAAGGGACAUGGAGGUAUACAUGGUGGUUAAUUCCCCUGUACUUCCCUGGAAAAGUGGCUCCCCUCCACCACCCACCAGACGUAUUCCUAGCUGUCCACGAGGGAAUCUGACCCUGUUAGCACUGAGUAUUUAUGAUCAACAUUUAUCAGUGGUUAUAUUAACUGUCAAAUGAUUAUACCUCUAAAUGCCAUUGUGUGUGUGUUUGUAUGCGCGCAUUGGGGAAGCUGGUUCGGGAAGAGAAAGUAUUCUUGAAGCAAAUGUGUUGUCUCUUUUAAAUGGUGUCUCCAAUACCAAAUUGGAAGUCUCGUGUCGUGUAAGUAUUGAGGACAAAAACCAAAAAAUGGAGGAAAGGUGUGUGUGUGGGGAUGUUACACAGGUGAAGAUUUUGGGACCUAGAGAGAGUGGUUUGCCUUGGGUCACACAGUUAGACAGCAUGGUUGGAACUAAACUGAGAUCUCUUGGCUCCCAAUUCAGUGGUCUUGCCGUGGUGCCCUGGGGCUCUUCCUCCUGUGUUUAUUACCUUCUCACGGUGCUUGUCUGAAACUGAGCCCCUUGGGUUUUUGUACUUCUCUAGGCAUUUCAUCUUUCCUCCACUUCCUUGCCAUCUCCAGGGGCACUUGAAGCUGCCAGCUCCCCCCGAGGCUUGCAGGUAAUGCUCACACUCUGUGGUAUCCCUCCUACAAUUACUUGGCCAGGAGCCCAGACCCAGAAGCCUGGGUUUCACUUGCAGGAAGUUAGGGCAUAUCCUCAAAGCUUGUGCACUGGCUUCCCUGCCUCUUCCUCUUCUCUCCCUGGCUCUUUGUACCACCUGGAUUAACGUCUGUCUGUCUUCACAAGCUGUUGGCUGUGAUUCCCCAUCUCAUUCCUUAAUUUGCCAAGUUCACAUUUUUCCAUAGCUCUAUAUAGCUAUAUUUUCUUUAGAUCAACUAAUUGGUUUUUUUAACUUAAAUAAUUUAUUUAAAAACUUAAUAGCACUACUGUAUAUUGAUAACCAAGAUUAGUGGCCAGUACAGAAGGUAACUAUUAAAAAAAAAGAACAAUGCUGUGAAAUUCUAGCUAGAUUCACUUGAGUGCUGAAGGCCUUCUGUUUUUUAAUUUAAUUUAUUGUUUAAAAAGUUGAUUAAGGAGUUCCCGUCGUGGCGCAGUGGUUCACGAAUCCGACUAGGAACCAUGAGGUUGCGGGUUCGGUCCCUGCCCUUGCUCAGUGGGUUGACGAUCCAGCGUUGCUGUGAGCUGUGGUGUAGGUUGCAGACGCGGCUCGGAUCCCGCGUUGCUGUGGCUCUGGCGUAGGCCGGUGGCUACAGCUCCGAUUCGACCCCUAGCCUGGGAACCUCCAUAUGCCACGGGAGCGGCCCAAAGAAAUAGCAAAAAAAUAAAUAAAUAAAAUAAAAAGUUGAUUAAGAAGUGGUGAAGAGGUUGUUAAAGCAGAGUUUCCAUUUAAUUUAGCCAGAAUUAUUACAAGGCCAUGAAGGAGAUGAGAAUUUUCUAAGCAUGUGAAUCGGUGUUUUAAGCCACUCAGGUACUACCUAAAGUCAGUUCACGGGGGGUCCCAUACCUGGAAUAACCCAGAUCCACAGAGUUAAGUUGAUAUUUGGGGAGAUCCUGAGCCCUGGGGUUAUGUUGAAGAGGUUUUGGCCAGUGGUGCAAUGUGAUCUAACUUUCCUGUGUCCCUACCCACUGGACGUGCUGGCACAACACUCCACGUCAUUGUAGGUUGUAUAGCUGUGACCCUAGUUUAGAGUACUCAUUUGUAUUGGUACCAAGUAUUAUGACCUAAUUAGAUAAGUUUGACGUGAAUAAAAAUAGAUCCAGGAUCAAGUGUUCCUGAUCAGUAUUGUUCACAUUUGAUCAUAGGAUCAUAGCAUUAAAGGCUAUAAAUAUUUCCCAUCACACUUCAAACUCAUUUUCUAAUACAGAAAAUGAGAAAUAGGAGUUCUUGUUAUGGUGCAGUGGGUUAAUGAUCCAGCUUGUCUCUGUGGAGGUCCUGGUUCAACCCCUGGCGUGGUGUAGUGGGUUAAGGAUACAGCAUUAGUGCAGCUGUGGCUGGCAUUUGAUCCCUGGGUUGGGAACUUCCAUAUGCCUCAAAGGGAGCCAAGAAGAAAAAGAAAAUAAGUAUAUAGAAGUUCCUUUUUCCUUUUCUAUGGUACAUAGUUAUUGAAUGUCUUCUCUGUGCAGAACAUUGAGGUAUAAAAGAUAUAUACAGUAUCGCUGCUUAACUUCUGGAAGUCUGAAUGUUCCUGUUUGGUGGAGGGGAUGAGUCUGGGCCAGUGCACUGAAGAGGGCUUGGGAAAUAGUUCUGGUUCGAAAUGGCAGGAGGCACAUGGCUCCUGGUGCCAGCAGGCCCCUUCACGUUGCAAUCUUUGUGAAGGGGUUGUGCGGGGUGUAGCCAGGGUAGUUGUAUGCAGUGGUCCUACAGGGUAAAGUGUGCUUACCAGCACCUUCUGGUGGAGGCCUCUGAAUGCCUUUUUGGAAUUCAGUUUGCCAGUCACCUAUUCAGUACCUUGUAAUUCUCAGUGCUAUUGGAGGCAGUAUGGGGAAGCAUAUCUGGUGGAAGGCGUAGCCUUGGUCCUUGAGAUGCUUGUGCUCUGGUUUAUGUACCAGAAGGAUGAAGAGCAUGUGCUCUGGAGUCAGACUGUGGUUUCAAGUCUUAGCUGUGGGCACUGUUUACUGUGUGACAUUGGACAAACGACUUAACCUUUCUGGGCCUCGUCCUUCCCCUUGAAAUGAGGAUAACAGUAGUACUGAUUUAGAGGGCCACUGUGAGAAUUAAACGAUAAAAUGAUGCCUGGCACAGAGUAAGAGCUCAAUAAAUGUUAAGUGUUACGAUUGUGAAGAGAAUGAUUUUAGGGUGAAUCAUUCCAAGGUGUUUGAUAAUUCAUUCAGUAUGUUGUUGUGCAGAUUGUAAACCCAAUGCUGAAGGAAUUCAAAUCAAGGAGAAAAAAAAUUUACCGAAGACUGGUACUAGUCGGGAAAAGCAAUGUCAUAAAGUCCUUGCAUUUCCAGCGUGCUUUAUUUCCCCCUCAGUUUGUGAAAUUAUAUUCCAUGUAUGGUUUUGGGAAAUAUGAGCAGGAUUCAUCAGCAGCAGAGGCAAAAUCAGAAGAAUCCUAGCAUCUCCAUCUUGUUGAAUUAUUUAUCGUUUCUUGCUGAGGAGCAGACUGAUUGCUUCUUGCCCUGCUAUAGACGGAUCGGAUUUGAUUCUGUCCCCAUGCAGUCUGGUGAGCUUAUUUUAAUAAGAACAACUUAAUAUUGCAACUCUGCAGCGAGGCUUUCGCGUCCCUCUAGGACAUUCGGCACUACACGCUCUGAGCUGGCGGGCUCUUCUGAUUAUUUCAGAUGAGGAAACUGAGUUAUCCUCCCUAGGAGGGCUUAUGUGAAUAAUCUUAGAAUUGACAUUUAAAUUCAAUCAGCAUUUUUUUUUCUUGCAUUUGUCAAGUGCCAGACACUGUGCUAGAUGCCUUCACGUCCAUUAUUACAUUGAAGGCUCCAAAUAAUCUUAUGAGGUAGACAUUAUUAUUAUAAACCUAUUUAAAAGAUAAGAAAGCCAAAGAGAGGGUAAGUACCUUGCCCAAGGUCACUGAGGUAGCAUGCAUGAGGAAAGAUUUCCAGCGCUGUUUUCAUGCUGCACACCCAAUCCUAGCGUGCUGCGCUGCUCCAGGCUGCCCUGGUGGCAGGCUCCUUCCUCUUUCCCUCCCUCCCUUCCUGUCUUCCUUUCUUUCCACCUGCCUCUGUCUCUCCCUCUCUUCUUCCUUCCUUCCCUCCUCCCUCCCUCCUUUCCUUCUUUUCCUCCUUCCUGUUCUGUAACUUUUUUUUUUUUUUUAAGUGAAGGCAAGUUUAUGUAGAGAGAGAUAUGGUCCAUAGGCAGAAUGUGGUCCAUCUCAGAAAGCAAGAGCAGCCCCACCUAUGCUUAAAAGAUUUUUAAUUGAUACAUGCUAUACACCGUUUUUAACAUCACAGGGAAUACAUAGCAUACCAAAUAGAUACACAUCACAAAAAAAUUUCAAACGGAAAAAGUUUAGUCUGUGGAAACCAAAUCAGUAUCAUUUUUUAAAUUGUUAGAUUGGUUGUCAUUUUUUAUCUUUGAAUACUGUUUCUUAGUUGUUAAUAACAGCAACAGGGACAUGAAGAAAAUUAAUCAGUUUUCAUUUUUUAAUGCAACGUGGAAAGUAAAAAGGAACUCUGCGUCCCUGGACUGUGCCAGGCACGUGAUAGCAGCUCUACACACACCUUUCAGCCUUCACUCUGUAGAGUGAUUUUUGGUGCUAGGUGUUAUCUCACAUGGCAGCAGGGAAGUGAGUCUUCAAGAGUCCCUGGAACUUGCUCUCUACUUAUGGGUGAUGGAAUCAUAACUUGAAGACAGGUCUGCCUGACUCCACAUCCUAUCUUUUCUUGGUUGUGUUCUCUUUUUUUUCCCUAGUUAAGUGUUAGCUUUGGCCAGAAUUCGGAGUAUAGGAGACAGGUAUUUAAGAAGAGGCAUAGGAGAGUUUGUUCAAUGGCAAGAAUGAGGAAUAGUUAAAGCCUUAGGAUCUGAGCCACACCUCCCUCGUUUGUACCAGGAGAUGUCGUGGAGGAUGGAGCUAAUGUAAAGAUGAAUCAGAGCAUCUUGGACCAGAGUCCCAGGUGUGUCCUGUGGCCCCAUCAGUGAGAGACCCUUCCUUCAGCCCGCCUCACUCUGGCCGGUUCACAAAGGUGGUUUCCCUCUCUGUUGACCUCUGCUCUCCCCUUCUGAGGAAGAGAUGCUGUUUACUUUCCAUCCGGUUGUGGUUCUGCGAGCUGUUAAGACGCCAACAUGUUCCAGGCUCCUAUGUUAAUGGCGUGGGGAUUAAAACUAAACAAAGCAAGCAAGCAUUUGACAAUAAAUGAGUCGAUUGGAAGUGAGUAGUGAGUGCGGAAGGGUGGGUGUGUUUUGUGCUUGUUUAUUGACUCUGGUAUUUUGGGCAAGUCUUUAAACUUCAGUUUGCCUCUGUUGUGCUGGCUAUAAAAUGGGAGAUAACGGUAGCGUGUGUCUCUUAACACUCGGAGGUGGUGAGAGGUUAAUUACUUAAUGCCUCGAAAAUUCUUCAGGCUCCAUGGCCAGGACCAGAAACGGGAAACGUUUUCUCCCCAAACCUUAUCAGGCUUCUGCCCUGUUCUCUGAGGCUCCAGUCUCAGAGGGGAGCCAUUGGAAGCAUAGAAAACAGAUUGAAAAGGGGAGUGAAAAAGAAAAAGAAUUGUAAAGAGAAGAGGUUGUGGGGAUGCCACCUUCAGGAUUGUUUUGUGUUUGGUUAGAUGAAGGGAGGUCUCCAAGAGAAGAAGCCAGGAGUCCAUUUGUGCUUAUUUUUACAAACCUCUGUGCUUGCAUUACUUCUCUUUGGUGAGAAGUAGGUGCAUUGCAUCUGUUUUUGACGGAGCCCUCCCAUGAUCUAGGGUGGACUGGUGGAUUUGUUUUUUGUAAAUACUCGAGUCCUCAGGUUCGAUCUUGGUACUCUCCUUGUAUUUCUUUCCCUCCCUCUUCUCUGUGUCAUUUCUGACCAGAGCAAUGCUUAGGGCCAGACCUGAAGGUAGAAUAGCAUCCUUCCACAGUCAGGAACUUUGGGAGAGUUUUUCCCUUUAAGACAAAGUCAUAUCUCCUGACACAGACUCCUGAGCCCGGGUGCAGCUCUGCCUGGCCCCCACUUUGUCCCCCGAUUCCCACCCUGCCUGGCAGCUGUACGGUGAGGCAGAAGAGGCAGCCAGAUGCAUUGUUUUUUCUAAUCAGAGGGAAACACUUUCAUCCUUUAAGUUGACGAGUCUUUUUCAGGCAAAAUCAACAGCAUUUUAAUUAUAGGACCCUAGGACGUCCUGUUUUAUCCCCCCCCCCAUUUUAAUGUCUUUCACACAAAAUUUUUCAUCAACCUUUGCUUUCUAAUAGAAUACUAGACAACACAGCAAGGACACUUAGAUGCCUCUCCUCUCUGCGAUUUUGCCAGGGUGCUGAAUGUCUUAGGGAUUAAGGAUGUUUUGGCAACGCAUUUUUUCCUUUUUUCUUUUUCUUUUCUUUUUUAGGGCUAUACUCACAGCAUAUGGAAGUUCCUAGGCUAGGCGUUGAAUCAGAGCUACACCUGCCAGCCUAUGCCACAGCCACAACAAGGCGGGGUCCAAGCUGCAUCUGUGACCCAUACCACAGCUCACAGCAAUGCCGGAUCCCUAGCCCACUGAGCAAGGCCAGGGAUUGAACCCGUGUCCUCAUGGAUCCUAGUCGGGUUCUUUAACUGCUGAGCCACGAAGGGAACUCCUCCAGCAACUCAAUUUUAUGUCUCAUUGAUUUGUAUGGUAAGAAAACUGGAGUUCUCAUGCGGCCAGAUUUUUUUCUUCAUGACCAAGAGCCUUUCUUGCAUGUUCCCCUGUGCCUCUCUGGGCGGUGCUGCUAGGGCUCAGUGAGUAUGAUGUGUGGCUGCCGUGGGAGCUCAGGAGUCCUUGGGACUGACCCAGGUUCACAUUCCUGUACAUUUGAAAUAGGGCUUCUCUCUGACAGCUGUGGGGUAGGAAGGUUCUUCUCCCCGACAGAAGGGUGGGUAUAUCAAGCUGUUUUUUCUUUUAAAUUUCACUUUAAGUAGCAUAGAGAUCUUCUUAAACACUGCCUCCCCCCUCCGGUUUGAAGUCGAAGAUGCUGCUCACAGGAUUCGUAGGACCACCAUCUCCCCCUGGUCCAAAGCCUUGUGGGCAAGUGCCGGCCAGGAGCAUCUGUGUGCUAAGGUUGCCAGAGAAAGAAGCAGUUGACCUCUGGUGUUUGUUUUGCAACUAACAGAGAACCAGAGGGAACUCUUCUGAAAUGUUUGCUUCAGGGUACAAUGAUGAAACCGCUGUUGGCUCCUCUUAGAAAAUCUGUUAAAUCUGAGAGCGGAAAAAUACCUACUUUUGAUUAUAAAAAAAAAAAAAAAA